This 521-nucleotide ribosomal RNA is filed under the name uncultured bacterium. RNAcentral's name for it is "bacterial SSU rRNA". It matches the Rfam family "Bacterial small subunit ribosomal RNA", at positions 988 to 1509 of the family's 1533-position model. The record is from RNAcentral.
CCAGGGAACUUAGCAGAGAUGCUUUGGUGCCUUCGGGAACUCUGAGACAGGUGCUGCAUGGCUGUCGUCAGCUCGUGUUGUGAAAUGUUGGGUUAAGUCCCGCAACGAGCGCAACCCUUAUCCUUUGUUGCCAGCGGUUAGGCCGGGAACUCAAAGGAGACUGCCAGUGAUAAACUGGAGGAAGGUGGGGAUGACGUCAAGUCAUCAUGGCCCUUACGAGUAGGGCUACACACGUGCUACAAUGGCGCAUACAAAGAGAAGCGACCUCGCGAGAGCAAGCGGACCUCAUAAAGUGCGUCGUAGUCCGGAUUGGAGUCUGCAACUCGACUCCAUGAAGUCGGAAUCGCUAGUAAUCGUGGAUCAGAAUGCCACGGUGAAUACGUUCCCGGGCCUUGUACACACCGCCCGUCACACCAUGGGAGUGGGUUGCAAAAGAAGUAGGUAGCUUAACCUUCGGGAGGGCGCUUACCACUUUGUGAUUCAUGACUGGGGUGAAGUCGUAACAAGGUAGGCGUAGUGCU